AUGGCACCAGAUCGAGCCGACGAGGCCAGUCCGCGGCCAGAUCCGCCACCGCCACAGCAACCUCUCUCUCUUCCUCUCCCCGAUCCAGAUCGAAGACGGCGGCUCCCACCUCAUCGCUCUCCCGUCGUCUCCCACCGUCCUUCCACACCGUCCGUUUCACUCUCUCUCGCACCCAACCUCCGGCUCUCCGUCCUACAUCCAGAUCCCGAUCCGCGGUGGCGCCCUCCGAUCCAACCCCUCCCUUCUUCUCCAACCGCACGCGCCCGCGUCCAGCACCCGGAGUCGCAAGCCUCGAUCUCCUCCUCCGCGCCCGUUCCCAAGCGCCUUUGCCUCCCUGUCCCGCCGGAGGACGGCGACGACACCUCCUCGGGUUGGAUUUCGCCGGAGGACCUGGCCCCGCCGCCCCCUCCCCCGUACCACGCUGCCGCGUCCUACUCCCCGCCGCCCGUCUCCGGCCCCGCCGCCGGCUCCGUGCCGCCUCCCAAGAACACCAUGGACUCGGUGAAGGACGUCCUAGGGAAGAUGGGGAAGAGGUUCGGCGAGGCCGCCCGCAAGACGGAGAACAUCACCGGCAACUUCUGGCAGCACCAUGAGAUUCGCUUCUCGAGCUCUCUGCUGUAUUGUAGGCAUGCCGAGCCUGCUGGCGUAUGCUUCUUCAGGGGCAAAGAAGAAAUCUUCAAGAAGAAGGUGCCCGAAGCUGAUGCCGCGUCGAGUGACUGA
This 720-nucleotide ribosomal RNA is filed under the name Triticum aestivum (bread wheat). Its description in RNAcentral is "partial small subunit ribosomal RNA". The record is from RNAcentral. Lineage: Eukaryota; Viridiplantae; Streptophyta; Magnoliopsida; Poales; Poaceae.